Molecule: non-coding RNA, 2189 nt
Organism: Triticum urartu
Lineage: Eukaryota; Viridiplantae; Streptophyta; Magnoliopsida; Poales; Poaceae
Source: RefSeq, a predicted model, not a curated record
GAAACUAGAAGAGACCCACACGGCCACACCAUUCCCCCCUCUCUCUCUCUCUUAUCUCUUUCGUCUAGAGAAGCUCGGCCACUGUUUUCCCCAAUCCACAACACUGCUCCGGCCGAGCGAAAUCCAGGUACACUCCGCUGCUCCGGCCAAAUUCGCUCGCCCCGAACUGCUCUGGCGAUUCCCUCCCUCUAUAUCCCUGCCUCUCUGCGCGCUGCUUCUUAUCCAUCCCCGUGCGGCCGUGCCCCAUGGCUUCUACCGGCAGCUGCAAGGGAUGGCCGGAGAGCGCACUGCUGCGGGAGCCGACCGAAUACGCCGCUGCUGCACCGCCACAUGCCUCUGGCUGCUAGUAGCAGGGAGACGACGAACUACACAAGCAGCAGAGCAACGACGAAAUCGACGAGCCUGACGACAACGGCAAGCUGGAGUCUCCCCCGACGAGCUCGACGAGGAAUAGGACGACGGUGAUGUCCCGGAGCAGCACGGUCGACCUCGGCGCCCUCCUGCCCGGCGUAGCCCCACUAGCAAAACCCAAGAUGAUGUCCAACCAAGUUUGUGUAUCCACAUUGCUUCUGAUGGCAUUGAAAGCUUCUACAAAGGCUUCCUCUUCCUCAUACUUGUACAUGCAAGCACUAAAUCAGCAAGUACAUUUGGUCCCUCCUCGUCUUUUUUCUUAUGAGCUUCACCAUACAUCAAGUCCCUUUGACGCCUGGUUCGCAAGUGGUUCUUGCGAUCACGACAUGUGUAGCCAAGGUUCAGUGGACCACCAACUUGUCGACUUGCUAACUCAUGGGCUCUUUUAGGUACAAUUCCUGAAUCAUCUGCUGUUUCAAUUUCAAAUGCUUGCAAUGCCGAAAUCUUCCGUUGUGACGGCAUCAAGUGGCUUGUCCCAGGUAAUUGCAAGACAUGGUUGUGUUCAACAACUAACUCGUGCACCUCAUAAUUUUCUGCUUCUCGGACUAUAGUGAUUCCCAUUCGAACAUUGCAGCCGGUCCUUGUUUCUGCACGAGGACGCUUUGUAUUAUUAUCCCUUUUGUCCUUUCUUCUGUAGCCUUCAUUAGAACAAACAUAUCUUGCAGAAGUGAUUACUCCGUCAAGUUUGCUCUUGUUUUCAUAAUUUACCCUUACAUCAAAACCAGUAUGACCUCCAUAACAUGUCCAAAAGUUCCAAGCCUCUUUUGUGGAAUUAAACUUCAUACCAAUCUGAGGCAUCCAACUAGGAACCACAUUUGUCCUGCACAAAUUAAGCAUAACUUAUUUGUUUCUCUGCUUACACUACAAUCAUAAGAUGACAUGGCCUAAUAAGAAUUGAAUAAAAUUAUUGGUACCUGUUAGAACCUUCGUUGGUGGAGUUAAUCAUAUUCUCCAUUACACUUUGUGUUUUUUCUUUUAUAAUCUAUGAUAGCAAACUCAGUCCAUGAGAUCUUUGUUGCUGCCAACAUGAAUACAAUUGAAACAUAUGUCAUAUACUUUGAGAUUGACGUCUUUAUUUUUGUUGCUACCAUGUACUCCCUCCGUUCCAAAUUACUCCCGCGACAAGUAAUUUGGAACGGAGGGAGUACAUCACAGGCACCUGUAUAUCAUCUACAACUCAAUAUAUCUUGUUCUUGUCCUAGCUACAAGGAGGACGAUCAGGACAAAAGUAAGAUAGAAGGGAAAUCAUCUACAACAGGCACACACCAACGUACCUUGGUCUUGUUCUCGCUAGAGAGGACGAGUGGGAGGAACAAGGGAGACGAGCAGGAGGAGGCGCCGAGGAAAUUGUCAACACGUUCUGAUUGGCCACAACGUUAGUUCAGCAGAAGCGAGAUCUCUACAACACGUUCAGAUCAGCAUACCUUGGUCUCAUUUUUUCUCCGAGGAGGACCAUCAGGAGGAAGAGGACGAGUGGGAGGAUUUUGGCACCAAGAAACUAUCAGCUCGCUCUGUUUGGCGCCAGCGUUUAUGUGUUUGGCGGCAAUUGUACAACCGUGGGAGAUUUUCCUCCGGACUAAUAGGGAUUUUUGUUCUAAUUAUUCAUAGAAUUAAGGGGGGAGAAAGAAGAGCCAUCCGAUUAAAAUAGACGGCAGAUGCUAGACGCUACAGCACGUGUACAGAGGAGCUGAACCCCCCACGAAGCGGCGCUUCAUGUACUACUAGUGCAACCCUGAGGACGCUAGUUGAUAUAAUAUUUCAUGGACCAUUAACUUGAA